RNAcentral lists this ribosomal RNA (460 nucleotides) under uncultured bacterium. RNAcentral's name for it is "partial 16S ribosomal RNA". It matches the Rfam family "Bacterial small subunit ribosomal RNA", at positions 338 to 795 of the family's 1533-position model. The record is from RNAcentral.
CCUACGGGAGGCAGCAGUGAGGAAUAUUGGUCAAUGGACGAGAGUCUGAUCCAGCCAAGUAGCGUGAACGAUGAAUGCCCUAUGGGUUGUAAACUUCUUUUAUAAAGGAAUACCACGAGGCACGUGUGCCUUUUUGCAUGUACUUUAUGAAUAAGGAUCGGCUAACUCCGUGCCAGCAGACGCGGUCAUACGGAGGAUCUGAGCGUUAUCCGGAUUUAUUGGGGUUAAAGGGAGCGUAGAUGGGUUGUUAAGUCAGUUGUGAAAGUUUGCGGCUCAACCGUAAAAUUGCAAUUGAUACUGGCAGUCUUGAGUACAGUUGAGGUAGGCGGAAUUCGAGGUGUAGCGGUGAAAUGCUUAGAUAUAAGGAAGAACCCCGAUUGCGAAGGCAGCUUACUAAACUGUGACUGACAUUGAUGCUCGAAAGUGUGGGUAUCAAACAGGAUUAGAUACCCGUGUAGUC